GCUCCAUACUACAUUGAAAACACCGGUUCUCGUCCGAUCACCAAAGUUAAGCAAUGUCGGGCCCGGUCAGUGCUUGGGAGGGUGAAGUUUGUCUUUCCUAAUUU
Non-coding RNA from Cordylochernes scorpioides, 104 nucleotides. The record is from the annotation of a GenBank genome assembly. Lineage: Eukaryota; Metazoa; Arthropoda; Arachnida; Pseudoscorpiones; Chernetidae.